RNAcentral lists this ribosomal RNA (332 nucleotides) under uncultured Ruminococcus sp. Its description in RNAcentral is "bacterial SSU rRNA". It matches the Rfam family "Bacterial small subunit ribosomal RNA", at positions 1 to 339 of the family's 1533-position model. The record is from RNAcentral. Lineage: Bacteria; Bacillati; Bacillota; Clostridia; Eubacteriales; Oscillospiraceae.
AGUAGUUUGAUCCGUGGCUCAGGACGAACGCUGGCGGCGUGCCUAACACAUGCAAGUCGAACGGGGGUUUUGCUUCGGUAGAACCCUAGUGGCGAACGGGUGAGUAACGCGUAGGCAACCUGCCCUUCAGACGGGGACAACAUCCCGAAAGGGGUGCUAAUACCGCAUAACGUAUCUUUAUCGCAUGGUAGGGAUACCAAAGAUUUAUCGCUCUGAGAUGGCCUCGCGUCUGAUUAGGUAGUUGGUGGGGUAACGGCCCACCAAGCCGACGAUCAGUAGCCGGACUGAGAGGUUGAACGGCCACAUUGGGACUGAGAUACGGCCCAGACUCC